Molecule: unclassified non-coding RNA, 296 nt
Filed under: Hevea brasiliensis (rubber tree)
Lineage: Eukaryota; Viridiplantae; Streptophyta; Magnoliopsida; Malpighiales; Euphorbiaceae
Source: RNAcentral
GGUUGCAUCAUCAUCUGACAUGCCAGAUUGUACUCUUAAUCCCUCAAAUGAGAGUGCCUCAAUCUUAUCCAUUGCCAAGGGAGCAAGAUCUUCUAGAGAUACAUAUUCUGAGCCCAUCUCAUUCCCUACUGUGCUUGACUUCAACCUGUUAGAUCUGCGUGCAGAUGAUCUCUCCUUCACAUUCUUUUGCCCACCAGAUAUAUCUUGCCCAAUUUCCAAUUCACACUGCAAUGAGCUUUGCCUCUCAGGUCCCUCCAGAGAUGCUGCAGUUUCCCAUGCUACUUGUUGCAUUGUUU